RNAcentral lists this long non-coding RNA (712 nucleotides) under Malus domestica (apple). Its description in RNAcentral is "long non-coding RNA (MDOM_LNC006172)". The record is from RNAcentral. Lineage: Eukaryota; Viridiplantae; Streptophyta; Magnoliopsida; Rosales; Rosaceae.
GAUUUGUGGAUUGUGCUGUUGAUCCAAGGGCCUUUGAGGCUUGAUCUUAGGAUGAACAAGUGAUGAACAAUGAACGCUUUCUUCAAUGGGGUCGUCGGGGCUUGAUCUUGAAUUAUGGAAGUUCUUCAAGGGUUGUUGGGGAUUGAUCUUGAAGGAGGAAGUCCUUCAAGGGCUGUUGGGGCUUGAUCUUGAAGGGGGAUUUGGUGGAAGUUCUUCAAGGGCUGUUGGGGGCUUGAUCUUGAAUGAGGAUUUGACGAAGAACGAAGAGAGAGCUUUCUUGAUCCUUCGGGAUUUGCUUGGGAGCUUUGGAGUUUCAAAGCUUCAAGGUUUUAGUGUGAGGUGAAUUGGUUAUGAAUUGGUGUCCCCAAAAUGAAUGCCUUGGCUUCCUAUUUAUAGAAUUCCAAAACUUGAUUUCUGGAUUUAAAUAAUCAAAUGAAAUAAAUCAUUUCUGCCAAGUGUUGACACAUGUCCUGUUUGAUUACUUUUCCGAUGAUACUCGAUUUUUCGUUGAGUCACAUGCUAUGUGUAAAAUUUAUGUGACACAUGAACGUUGAAAUUUUAAUUAUUGAUCAACAUUAUUUCAUCGAAAUUUCAAUGUCUACAGAAUUAUUUUUUUUGACAAACGAUAUAAGUUAUUUGCAAAGUUAUUUUGACUAUAGGUCGUUCACUCACCCAUAACAAAACACAUUGAGCUAUAAUUUAGUAUCAUACU